Non-coding RNA from Ramaria rubella, 84 nucleotides. The record is from the annotation of a GenBank genome assembly. Lineage: Eukaryota; Fungi; Basidiomycota; Agaricomycetes; Gomphales; Gomphaceae.
GCCUUCUUAGCUCAGUUGGUAGAGCGCGUCACUAGUAUGUAAAUAUGAAUGACGAGGUCGGUCGUUCAAAUCGGCCAGGAGGCA